GAGUUGUCUCUGUCCAUCUCUACAGUAGUCAUAAGGAUCGACCUUCUCUGUGGGUAGUAGCCAGCCUGAGGCAGGGAAAGCUGAAGUGUAAGCUCGCACACUGCCACUCACCAUGCAGCUGUCGAGCAUCGUGUUUGAUGCUAGCUCCCAUGCCUGGAAACUGUGUUAGGUGAGUUAGCAAACUCCACACUGAAGACCUGUGGUCUUGGGCCGCUCUAGACCUCUGCUGGCCACAGCUGGGCAGCGUGCCCUGUUCUGUACUCGAGUUGUGCACCAGUACCUAGAGUUGGACAGCAGCCUAACUGGAUAGCGUGCCCUGAGUCCGUGCUUUUUCUCCAGCUGGAAGUCCGUAUUGCCUUCUGGCUUCUCACAGAACAUGGAUCAGUCUGAGCAAAUGCUGGUCCGAUGAGAUGUUCCUGCCUUUGUUGGCACAUCGUCUGUGGAGGCUCACGCUGCAGAUUCUGGCCCGAUUCUCUGUGUUUGUCAGUGAGCUUUCUGUCAGGCCCAUCUCUAAUGAAACUGCCAAGGAGACUAAAAAGCCUUUGGCAGGCAGCAAAGACCCUUCGGACGACCAUGGAAGCCAUCCUUCAGAAGCAGGCGCUGUGCCCAUCUCCAGCACUCAGCUGGUGUAUGU
This 634-nucleotide long non-coding RNA is filed under the name Rattus norvegicus (Norway rat). RNAcentral's name for it is "long non-coding RNA NONRATT014401". Lineage: Eukaryota; Metazoa; Chordata; Mammalia; Rodentia; Muridae. The record is from RNAcentral.